UGUCACAGGUAUGUGCAGUACCAGCCUGGAAGUCUCCAGUAUCUUGUCACAGGUAUGUGCAGUACCAGUCUGGAAGUCUCCAGUAUCUUGUCACAGGUAUGUGCAGUACCAGUCUGGAAGUCUCCAGUAUCUUGUCACAGGUAUGUGCAGUACCAGUCUGGAAGUCUCCAGUAUCUUGGCACAGGUAUGUGAAUAACCAGCCUGGAAGUCUCCAGUAUCUUGCCACAGGUAUGUGCAGUACCAGCCUGGAAGUCUCCAGUAUCUUGUCACAGGUAUGUGAAGUACCAGCCUGGAAGUCUCCAGUAUCUUGUCACAGGUAUGUGCAGUACUAGUUAGCAGAAUUCUGAUCUGUUACAGAAAUAUACCCCACAUCGUUGAAAAUGUGUUUUGUUUUAUGUGGCAUGUGUCGAUUAGUGUGUGUGUCCAUAUUAAGUUUUUGUGUUAUAAAUGCUUUUUGCGAGUAUAAAUGUUUGAAUAUGCCUUUUGAAACUCAACACAGAUUUUUGUUUAGUACGAUAUGUUUUUAGUAGAUUCCACUAUAUUCUAUGUUAAUCUGCACAAAGCAUAUUGUUUAUUAACGUGAAUUAUUUGUUACAUUUGUCUCUCUCAUAACCAACAAAGUACGGGCAUUGUUUUAAAAAUAAUACUAUGUACUUUUUAUACACCCGUAUUAUGUAAACAUCCAAGCAGUGGAAAAUAUUUAUCCAGAGCAUAACUGUGUCUAUGUCCAAGGUCAAGGUCACAAUUAUAGGUCAAAGGUCGAAUGUCUGAAAUUUGUCAGGAGCAUAACAUUGUCCAGCACACUGAGACGUUGUGCUGCGCUAAAGAACCAGGUCUAUAAGUCAAGGUCAGAAGCCAAAAUAGUGUUGAACAAAUAAGAAAUAACAAAAUAUGCAGAAGAUACUACCAUACUGAGUGGCAAACAUUGUAACAAAGUUCCUUAGUCUAAGGUCAAGGUCACAAUUUAAGGUCACAGGUCAAAUAAAAUAAACCUGGUCCAAUUUAUACUGACAUCAUUUUGACAAUGACUAUUGUUUCAUUAAUUUUUUAGCUUAUGUAUUCUAAAAAAGGAUUUGUUUUUAAAUUAACCAGUAGACUAGUUCUGUUUCCCUUAUUUGUGCUUUCCAUUAGCUGUUUCUUUAGUAGCUUUUUUCCCCUAUUUGCGCUUUCCAUUAGCUGUUUCUUCUUAUUUGUGCCUUCCAGUAGCCUUUGUAUGCCCCCGGAUCGAAUGAUCGGGGGGUAUAUUGUUUUUGGCCUGUCUGUCUGUCAUUCUGUCCCAAAACUUUAACCUAAAACUUUAACCUUGGUUAAAGUUUUGCAAUAUUUAAUAACUUGCAAUAUUGAAGAUAGCAACUUGAUAUUUGGCAUGCAUGUGUAUCUCAUUGAGCUGCACAUUUUGAGUGGUGAAAGGUCAAGGUCAUCCUUCAUGGUCAAAGGUCAAAUGUAUGGCUUCAAAGCGGCGCAAUAGGGGGCAUUGUGUUUCUGACAAACACAUCUCUUGUUUCCUUAUGUGUACCUUCCAGUAGCCUUUUAUUCCUUAUUUGUGCAUUCCAUGAGUUGUUUUUCCCUUAUUUGUGUCUUCCAUGAGUUGUUUCUCCCUUAUUUGUGCUUUCCAUGAGUCGUUUUUCCCUUUUUUGUGUCUUCCGUGAGUUGUUUUUCCCUUAUUUGUGUCUUCCGUGAGUUGUUUUUCCCUUAUUUGUAUCUUCUGUGAGUUGUUUUUCCCGUUAUUUGUGCCUUCUAGUAGCCUUUUUAUGCUCCCCCAAAAUUUAUUUUUGGGGGGAGCAUAUAGUCGCCGCUUCGUCUGUCCGUGUGUGUGUCUGUCUGUCCAUCAGUGCACAAUUUUGUCCGGGCUAUUUCUCAGCAACUAAUGACCAGAAUUCAAUGAAACUUUAUGGGAAGCUUCACUACCAAGAAGAGAUGUGCAUAUUAUAAGCGGGUUCUGGUCGGAUGAUUUUUCACAGAGUUAUGGCCCUUUGAAAUUUUCUAUAAAAAAAAAAUCUUGU
This is a long non-coding RNA of Dreissena polymorpha, 2003 nucleotides long. RefSeq lists it as uncharacterized. The record is from RefSeq and is a predicted model, not a curated record. The transcript has 3 exons. Lineage: Eukaryota; Metazoa; Mollusca; Bivalvia; Myida; Dreissenidae.